RNAcentral lists this ribosomal RNA (1270 nucleotides) under uncultured bacterium. Its description in RNAcentral is "bacterial SSU rRNA". It matches the Rfam family "Bacterial small subunit ribosomal RNA", at positions 8 to 1285 of the family's 1533-position model. The record is from RNAcentral.
AGAGUUUGAUCCUGGCUCAGAUUGAACGCUGGCGGCAGGCCUAACACAUGCAAGUCGAGCGGAUGAAGAGGGCUUGCUCUCUGAUUCAGCGGCGGACGGGGGAGUAAUGCCUAGGAAUCUGCCUGAUAGUGGUGGACAACGUUUCGAAAGGAACGCUAAUACCGCAUACGUCCUACGGGAGAAAGCAGGGGACCUUCGGGCCUUGCGCUAUCAGAUGAGCCUAGGUCGGAUUAGCUAGUUGGUGAGGUAACGGCUCACCAAGGCGACGAUCCGUAACUGGUCUGAGAGGAUGAUCAGUCACACUGGAACUGAGACACGGUCCAGACUCCUACGGGAGGCAGCAGUGGGGAAUAUUGGACAAUGGGCGAAAGCCUGAUCCAGCCAUGCCGCGUGUGUGAAGAAGGUCUUCGGAUUGUAAAGCACUUUAAGUUGGGACGAUGGGCANNNNNNNNNNNNNNNAAUGACGGUAGUGUAUGAAUAAGCAUCGGCUAACUCCGUGCCAGCAGCCGCGGUAAUACGGAGGAUGCAAGCGUUAUCCGGAUUCAUUGGGUUUAAAGGGUGCGUAGGCGGCUCUUUAAGUCAGUGGUGAAAUCCUGCCGCUUAACGGUAGAAUUGCCAUUGAUACUGAAGGGCUUGAGUACAGUUGAGGUAGGCGGAAUGUGUAGUGUAGCGGUGAAAUGCUUAGAUAUUACACAGAACACCGAUUGCGAAGGCAGCUUACCAAACUGUUACUGACGCUGAUGCACGAAAGCGUGGGGAGCGAACAGGAUUAGAUACCCUGGUAGUCCACGCCGUAAACGAUGCUCACUCGCUGUAUGCGAUACACAGUAUGCGGCCAAGCGAAAGCAUUAAGUGAGCCACCUGGGGAGUACGAUCGCAAGGUUGAAACUCAAAGGAAUUGACGGGGGCCCGCACAAGCGGAGGAACAUGUGGUUUAAUUCGAUGAUACGCGAGGAACCUUACCUGGGCUUAAAUGUAGGGCGACAGCUUGUGAAAGCAGGCUUUCUUCGGACGACCUACAAGGUGCUGCAUGGUUGUCGUCAGCUCGUGCCGUGAGGUGUCGGGUUAAGUCCCAUAACGAGCGCAACCCUUAUCGUUAGUUGCCAGCGGGUCAAGCCGGGGACUCUAGCGAGACUGCCACCGUAAGGUGUGAGGAAGGUGGGGAUGACGUCAAAUCAGCACGGCCCUUAUGUCCAGGGCUACACACGUGUUACAAUGGCCGAUACAAAGGGCAGCCACUCCGCGAGGAGAUGCUAAUCUCUAAAGUCGG